RNAcentral lists this ribosomal RNA (375 nucleotides) under uncultured eukaryote. RNAcentral describes it as "partial 18S ribosomal RNA". It matches the Rfam family "Eukaryotic small subunit ribosomal RNA", at positions 592 to 976 of the family's 1831-position model. The record is from RNAcentral.
CAAUAGCGUAUAUUAAAGUUGUUGCAGUUAAAAAGCUCGUAGUUGGAUUUCGGUUAAGAGCGACCGGUCCGCCGUUUGGUGUGCACUGGUUGGUUUUAACUUCCUGUAGAGGACGUGCUCUGGGUUUAACGACCUGGACUCGGAGUCUACGUGGUUACUUUGAAAAAAUUAGAGUGUUCAAAGCGGGCUUACGCUUGAAUAUUUCAGCAUGGAAUAACACUAUAGGACUCCUGUCCUAUUUCGUUGGUCUCGGGACGGGAGUAAUGAUUAAGAGGAACAGUUGGGGGCAUUCGUAUUUCAUUGUCAGAGGUGAAAUUCUUGGAUUUAUGAAAGACGAACUUCUGCGAAANCANNNGCCAAGGAUGUUUUCAUNAA